CUUCCCCAAAAAAGGAAGAAUUUACAGAUGAUCAGCAUGACCCCUGCUCAGGGAUGACACACAAUUUCAUGCCACACUCCAUAUUUUU
Small nuclear RNA from Otolemur garnettii (small-eared galago), 88 nucleotides. NCBI's taxonomy places the organism in Eukaryota, Metazoa, Chordata, Mammalia, Primates, Galagidae. The record is from Ensembl.